This 422-nucleotide ribosomal RNA is filed under the name Cleptria corallina. RNAcentral describes it as "eukaryotic LSU rRNA". It matches the Rfam family "Eukaryotic large subunit ribosomal RNA", at positions 653 to 980 of the family's 3401-position model. Lineage: Eukaryota; Metazoa; Arthropoda; Insecta; Hemiptera; Reduviidae. The record is from RNAcentral.
CUUGAAACACGGACCAAGGAGUUUAUUGUGUACGCAAGUCAUUGGGUGAUACAAAACCCAAAGGCGUAAUGAAAGUAAAGAGUAGCAAGAUGGAGGUUGAUUUUUUCAAUCUAGAUUCUUGCUCUCAAGGGAAGAUGGAUAUCUUGUUUUAAAUUAUAUUUAUAUUAGGUAUAUUUAAAAUUUAGAUUCCCGCAUUCCCAGGGCGCUUGUUUCUCGCUUUGCGAGUCUAUGCGCACCUAGAGCGUACACGAUGAUACCCGAAAGAUGGUGAACUAUGCCUGGCCAGGACGAAGCCAGGGGAAACCCUGGUGGAGGUCCGCAGCGAUUCUGACGUGCAAAUCGAUCGUCAGAGCUGGGUAUAGGGGCGAAAGACCAAUCGAACCAUCUAGUAGCUGGUUCCCUCUGAAGUUUCCCUCAGGAUA